Molecule: transfer RNA, 74 nt
Filed under: Phycisphaerae bacterium
Lineage: Bacteria; Pseudomonadati; Planctomycetota; Phycisphaerae
Description: tRNA-Arg
Rfam family: tRNA
About the family: Transfer RNA (tRNA) molecules are approximately 80 nucleotides in length. Their secondary structure includes four short double-helical elements and three loops (D, anti-codon, and T loops).
Source: RNAcentral
GCGCCACUAGCUCAAUUGGAUAGAGCAUCGGUUUACGGAACCGAAGGUUGCAGGUUCGAGUCCUGCGUGGCGUA